GACGAACGCUGGCGGCGUGCUUAACACAUGCAAGUCGAACGGAAAGGCCCUGCUUGCAGGGUGCUCGAGUGGCGAACGGGUGAGUAACACGUGGGUGAUCUGCCCCUUAUUUUGGGAUAAGCCUGGGAAACUGGGUCUAUUACUGGAUAGGACAAUGCUGAAGGUGGUGAGGUGGAAAGAUUAGUUUCGGUAAGGGUUGAGCUCGCGGCCUAUCAGCUUGUUGGUGGGGUAAUGGCAUACCAAGGCGUCGACGGGUAGCCGGCCUGAGAGGGUGGACGGCCACAUUGGGACUGCGAUACGGCCCAGACUCCUACGAGAGGCAGCAGUGGGGCAUAUUGCACAAUGGGCGCAAGCCUGAUGCAGCGACGCCGCGUGGGGGAUGACGGCCUUCGGGUUGUAAACUCCUUUCAGCCAUGACGAAGCCCUUGUGGUGACGGUAGUGGUAGAAGAAGCACCGGCUAACUACGUG
Molecule: ribosomal RNA, 469 nt
Filed under: uncultured bacterium
Lineage: Bacteria
Description: partial 16S ribosomal RNA
Rfam family: Bacterial small subunit ribosomal RNA
Source: RNAcentral